Molecule: unclassified non-coding RNA, 173 nt
Filed under: soil metagenome
Description: partial internal transcribed spacer 1
Source: RNAcentral
CAAGAAGCCGAAAGGCUACUUAAAACCAUCGCGAACUUAUCCAAGUUGCUUCGGCGGCGCGGCUCCCCUCACGGGGGACCGCAGCCCCCGCCUCUCAGGAGGUAAGGGGCAGCCGCCGGAGGUACGAAACUCUGUAUUAUAGUGGUAUCUCUGAGUAUAAAAUAAAUAAGUUA